RNAcentral lists this ribosomal RNA (479 nucleotides) under uncultured anaerobic ammonium-oxidizing bacterium. Its description in RNAcentral is "bacterial SSU rRNA". It matches the Rfam family "Bacterial small subunit ribosomal RNA", at positions 364 to 833 of the family's 1533-position model. The record is from RNAcentral.
UUUCGCAAUGCCCGAAAGGGUGACGAAGCGACGCCGCGUGAGUGAGGAAGGCCUUCGGGUUGUAAAGCUCUGUCAGGAGUUAAGAAAUAUAAGUGUGUUAAUACCACAUUUAUUUGACGAAGGCUCCAAAGGAAGCCACGGCUAACUCUGUGCCAGCAGCCGCGGUAAUACAGAGGUGGCAAGCGUUGUUCGGAAUUAUUGGGCGUAAAGAGCACGUAGGUGGGUUUGUAAGUCAGAUGUGAAAGCCUUCUGUUCAACGGAAGAAUUGCAUCUGAAACUGCGAGUCUUGAGUGUAGGAGGGGAGAAUGGAACCUCUGGUGGAGCGGUGAAAUGCGUAGAUAUCAGAAGGAACGCCGGCGGCGAAAGCGAUUCUCUGGCCUAUUACUGACACUCAGUGUGCGAAAGCUAGGGGAGCAAACGGGAUUAGAUACCCCGGUAGUCCUAGCUGUAAACGAUGGGCACUAAGUAGAGGGGUUUUA